Molecule: ribosomal RNA, 240 nt
Filed under: uncultured bacterium
Lineage: Bacteria
Description: partial 16S ribosomal RNA
Rfam family: Bacterial small subunit ribosomal RNA
Source: RNAcentral
UAACCUGCCCAAGAGACUGGGAUAACACCUGGAAACAGAUGCUAAUACCGGAUAACAACGCUAGACGCAUGUCUAGAGUUUAAAAGAUGGUUCUGCUAUCACUCUUGGAUGGACCUGCGGUGCAUUAGCUAGUUGGUAAGGUAACGGCUUACCAAGGCAAUGAUGCAUAGCCGAGUUGAGAGACUGAUCGGCCACAUUGGGACUGAGACACGGUCCAAACUCCUACGGGAGGCAGCAGCG